Molecule: ribosomal RNA, 626 nt
Filed under: uncultured bacterium
Lineage: Bacteria
Description: bacterial SSU rRNA
Rfam family: Bacterial small subunit ribosomal RNA (bases 1-540)
Source: RNAcentral
CCUACGGGAGGCAGCAGUGGGGAAUUUUGGACAAUGGGCGAAAGCCUGAUCCAGCAAUGCCGCGUGCAGGAAGAAGGCCUUCGGGUUGUAAACUGCUUUUGUACGGAACGAAACGGUCUGCUUUAAUACAGUGGGCUAAUGACGGUACCGUAAGAAUAAGCACCGGCUAACUACGUGCCAGCAGCCGCGGUAAUACGUAGGGUGCGAGCGUUAAUCGGAAUUACUGGGCGUAAAGCGUGCGCAGGCGGUUAUAUAAGACAGUUGUGAAAUCCCCGGGCUCAACCUGGGAAUUGCAUCUGUGACUGUAUAGCUAGAGUACGGUAGAGGGGGAUGGAAUUCCGCGUGUAGCAGUGAAAUGCGUAGAUAUGCGGAGGAACACCGAUGGCGAAGGCAAUCCCCUGGACCUGUACUGACGCUCAUGCACGAAAGCGUGGGGAGCAAACAGGAUUAGAUACCCUGGUAGUCCACGCCCUAAACGAUGUCACUGGUUGUUGGGUGNAUAGUACUACUAGUAACGAAGACUACGCGUGAGUAGACGCCGNGGAGGUACGGUCCGGCGAGUUAGUUAACGUACGAAGUUAGUAGUUGAGGCGNGAGAGNGCGACGGACGACGACGAGGGAGGAGG